Molecule: ribosomal RNA, 812 nt
Filed under: uncultured crenarchaeote
Lineage: Archaea; Thermoproteati; Thermoproteota
Description: bacterial SSU rRNA
Rfam family: Archaeal small subunit ribosomal RNA
Source: RNAcentral
CGGCUCAGUAACACGUAGUCAACCUGCCCUGGAGACGCGAAUAACCCCGGGAAACUGGGAUUAAUGCGUGAUAGGUCACCUCAUCUGGAAAGAGAGAUGGCUUAAAGGGGUACGCGGGCUUCUUCCGCGGAUCUGCUCCAGGAUGGGACUGCGUCCGAUCAGGCUGUUGGCGGGGUAAUGGCCCACCAAACCUGUAACCGGUACGGGCCUUGAGAGAGGUGGCCCGGAGAUGGACACUGAGAGAAGGGUCCAGGUCCUACGGGGCGCAGCAGGCGCGAAACCUUCGCAAUGCGCGAAAGCGUGACGAGGUUAAUCCGAGUGGUUCCCGCUGAGGGAAUCUUUUGUCAGCUAUAAAUAGGCGGGCGAAUAAGGGGAGGGCAAGCCUGGUGUCAGCCGCCGCGGUAAUACCAGCUCCUCGAGUGGUCGGGGCGAUUAUUGGGCCUAAAGCAUCCGUAGCCGGUUCCGUAGGUCUUCUGUUAAAUCCAACCGCUUAACCGUUGACCUGCAGAAGAUACCGCGGGACUAGGAGGCGGGAGAGGCGGACGGUACUCCGCGUGUAGGGGUAAAAUCCUUUGAUCCGCGGAAGACCACCAGUGGCGAAGGCGGUCCGCCAGAACGCGCUCGACGGUGAGGGAUGAAAGCUGGGGGAGCGAACCGGAUUAGAUACCCGGGUAGUCCCAGCCGUAAACGAUGCUAGCUAGAUGAUUCAUUCGCAAGUCGCGAAUGAAGUGUCUCAGGGAAGCCGUUAAGCUAGCCGCCUGGGGAGUACGGUCGCAAGACUGAAACUUAAAGGAAUUGGCGGGACUCCUUAC